Small nuclear RNA from Homo sapiens (human), 54 nucleotides. The record is from Ensembl. Lineage: Eukaryota; Metazoa; Chordata; Mammalia; Primates; Hominidae.
GUGCUUGCUUCAGCAGCACAUAUGCUAAAAUUGGAAUGAUACAGAGAAAAUUAG